Molecule: ribosomal RNA, 403 nt
Filed under: Gyrodinium helveticum
Lineage: Eukaryota; Dinophyceae; Gymnodiniales; Gymnodiniaceae
Description: partial small subunit ribosomal RNA
Rfam family: Eukaryotic small subunit ribosomal RNA
Source: RNAcentral
GCUUGUCUCAAAGAUUAAGCCAUGCAUGUCUAAGUAUAAACUUUUUUACGGUGAAACUGCGAAUGGCUCAUUAAAACAGUUAUAGUUUAUUUGAUGGUCGCUCACUACAUGGAUAACCGUGGUAAUUCUAGAGCUAAUACAUGCGUCAAAACCUGACUUCUUGGAAGGGUUGUGUUUAUUAGAUACAGAACCAACCCAGGCUCCGCCUGGCCUUGAGGUGAUUCACAAUAACCGAACGAAUCGCAUAGCUGCCGCUGGCGAUAGACCAUUCAAGUUUCUGACCUAUCAGCUAUCGUCGGUAGGGUAUUGGCCUACCGUGGCAAUGACGGGUAACGGAGAAUUAGGGUUCGAUUCCGGAGAGGGAGCCUGAGAAACGGCUACCACAUCUAAGGAAGGCAGCAGG